GGAGAGGUGGGUGAGUGGCUUAAACCAGUAGUUUGCUAAACUGCCGUACGGGUUAUUCUGUACCGGGGGUCGGAUCCCCCCUCUCCG
This 87-nucleotide transfer RNA is filed under the name Flavobacteriales bacterium. RNAcentral's name for it is "tRNA-Ser". It matches the Rfam family "tRNA". From Rfam's summary of the family: Transfer RNA (tRNA) molecules are approximately 80 nucleotides in length. Their secondary structure includes four short double-helical elements and three loops (D, anti-codon, and T loops). Further hydrogen bonds mediate the characteristic L-shaped molecular structure. tRNAs have two regions of fundamental functional importance: the anti-codon, which is responsible for specific mRNA codon recognition, and the 3' end, to which the tRNAs corresponding amino acid is attached (by aminoacyl-tRNA synthetases). tRNAs cope with the degeneracy of the genetic code in two manners: having more than one tRNA (with a specific anti-codon) for a particular amino acid; and 'wobble' base-pairing, i.e. permitting non-standard base-pairing at the 3rd anti-codon position. Lineage: Bacteria; Pseudomonadati; Bacteroidota; Flavobacteriia; Flavobacteriales. The record is from RNAcentral.